GCGUCACUAACAUCGGGCGGUUUUUUGUUGACUGAUAUCCCGCACUAUAAACCCAUCAAAGUUUCUCAUUCACUUGAAAUAGGUGCCAAAUUCUCUGAGCCCACCCAGUGUUUCGCCGGCGGUAUGCCUGCGCAGCCUCGCAUAUGAGUACCUCAAUGCUGUACUGAUUGCUUUGACCUAUCAUGGGAACAGAAAAGUAGCACUAACAUACGUGCGGGCAUCACAUUUGGCGGUAGGCUGGAAGAUAUGCUACAAGUACGCUGUAUUACUAAUCGACGCUGGCAAUAAUGCGUCUGAAACGUCUGAAGGGCCCUGUAACGGCUUUUACAAACAGCGCAUUCAUGUUAGCGUUCCAGUCUCAUACGAUAGCCCACAGCGUUUGUCAUGCAACCUGCCAGCGCAUUUCCUUCGUCCAUGAAAAAAGAUGAAUUAUGGUGAUAAAGAUGCAUAAGCCACCCGUUCCGGAGCGCAUGGCGCGCAGGGAGAGAGAGAAAGAGACAAAAAAAAAAUGAAGGAAAAGGCGCUCACACUCUUCCGAGCGCGCACGCCCUCGGGCGCGGAGCUCCUGCGCAUGCUCGGAGCUCUUGCGCAUGCGCGGCGGUGCGUCGUCUCAACGAGUGCGCCAGGCACGUAAACGGUUGUAUCGGUGUGCGGUGUCUGCCUGAACGUUGGUGUCUGUGUAUGCGUGUCUUCUUUGUGGCAUCACACGUCAACUACACCGGACGCAUACACCUGCAGCACCUUUGGGACUAAUGACACAAAGGUCAAGGCCAGCCUGGCGACCAUGCUUGCCAAGGAGUAGUGUAAAUAUUUAAUCUGUUUCCAUAAUAGCAUAAGACAUGAAUUUAAGGAAUUCAUCUAUUAUAUCCAGCAAUAAAAACUGUUAAUGCA
Dermacentor andersoni is the source of this 891-nucleotide long non-coding RNA. RefSeq lists it as uncharacterized. Lineage: Eukaryota; Metazoa; Arthropoda; Arachnida; Ixodida; Ixodidae. The record is from RefSeq and is a predicted model, not a curated record.